AGUUUGAUCCUGGCUCAGCCUGAACGCUGGCGGCGUGGCUAAGACAUGCAAGUCGAACGGUGUAGCAAUACACAGUGGCGGACGGGUGAGUAAUGUAUCGCUAAUGUACCCUAGAGCCUGGGAUAGCCGACCGAAAGGGCGGGUAAUACCAGAUGAAAUACUCUUGUCGCAUGAUGAGAGUCUCAAAGCAGCAAUGCACUCCUGGAGCAGGCGAUAUCGUAUCAGCUAGUUGGUGAGGUAACGGCUCACCAAGGCGAUGACGCGUAGCUGGUCUGAGAGGACGACCAGCCACAUCGGGACUGAGACACUGCCCGGACUCCUACGGGGGGCUGCAGUAACGAAUCUUCCGCAAUGCACGAAAGUGUGACGGAGCGACGCCGCGUGUAGGAUGAAGUCCUUCGGGAUGUAAACUACUGUCAGGGGAAAGAAAGUUCUGAUCUACCCCAGAGGAAGAGGCGGCUAACUCUGUGCCAGCAGCCGCGGUAAUACAGAGGCCUCGAGCGUUAGGCGGAAUCACUGGGCUUAAAGCGUGUGUAGGUGGAUGCUUAAGUACUUUGUGAAAUCCCACGGCUUAACCGUGGAAUUGCUUGGUAUACUGGGCGUCUUGAGCCACUCAGGGGCGAGCGGAACAAACGGUGGAGCGGUGAAAUGCGUAGAUAUCGUUUGGAACGCCAAUGGUGAAAACAGCUCGCUGGGGGUGUGCUGACACUGAGACACGAAAGCCAGGGGAGCGAACGGGAUUAGAUACCCCGGUAGUCCUGGCCCUAAACGAUGUCCACUAGAUUAUGGCGGUUCUAACGCCGUCAUGGUCGUAGCAAAAGUGCUAAGUGGACCGCCUGGGAAGUACGGUCGCAAGGCUAAAACUCAAAGGAAUUGACGGGGGCUCACACAAGCGGUGGAGCAUGUGGUUCAAUUCGAAGCAACGCGCAGAACCUUACCUGGGCUUGACAUGCUAGGAUUAUCCCUAUGAAAGUAGGGUAGGCCCUUCGGGGUACAACUAGUACAGGUGCUGCAUGGCUGUCGUCAGCUCGUGUCGUGAGAUGUCGGGUUAAGUCCCUUAACGAGCGCAACCCUUGCCCCGUGUUACUAACAGGUAAAGCUGAGGACUCUCGGGGGACUGCCGGCGUCAAGCCGGAGGAAGGUGGGGACGACGUCAAGUCAUCAUGGCCCUUACGCCUAGGGCGACACACGUGCUACAAUGGCCAGGACAGAGGGCUGCGAAGCGGCAACGUGGAGCGAAUCCCAGAAACCUGGUCCAAGUUCGGAUUGUGGGCUGAAACUCGCCCACAUGAAGCCGGAAUCGCUAGUAAUCGCGGAUCAGCCAUGCCGCGGUGAAUACGUUCCCGGGCCUUGUACACACCGCCCGUCACGCCAUGGAAGUUGGGAGUGCCCGAAGUCCGUAUGCUAACCGCAAGGAGGCAGCGGCCUAAGGCAAGCUCGAUGACUGGGGCGAAGUCGUAACAAGGUAGCCGU
Molecule: ribosomal RNA, 1473 nt
Filed under: uncultured bacterium
Lineage: Bacteria
Description: partial 16S ribosomal RNA
Rfam family: Bacterial small subunit ribosomal RNA
Source: RNAcentral